GGGAAGGUGGAAAGGGGUCCCCCAUGUCCCACAAAUUGACUAGAAACCUGGAUGCAGCAACAGGAUGGGCUGCAGGAGCAGCAUCAGCUUCAGGAAGAGGAGCCGUGCAGGAUAGGCAACCCCAGCUCGGCAGUGGCUCUGAGGAAGAUUGGCUGGGGCUGGAUGAUGUAGUGAUGCUGAAAUCAUUUAAGCUUGUUAUGGUGGUUUCUAUGGCUCUCUGGCUGGAUGUAACAAAUUGUCUGCAUCAUUUUCCAGAUGGAUCAUUCUUAAAUCAUCCAGGACAGGCUUCAGGGCUCCGCACUGAAGCAGCGGAAGGCACUUUGGUUCAAUAAAUGCUGGAACGGUUCUGUAUCAAGUGCUAUUUCCUAUUAAAAGUGCAGGUACCAGCCCCCAGCACGUGUCCAGCUCCUGGUGGAUGGCGCAGCCCAAGCAAGCCUGAAGAAAACCUCUUAUUAAAAUUGGAAUUAGCUGACCCCUUAUUAUUACUAGCUGACCCCUUAUUUCGAUUAGCUGACCCCUCUCUGUGAGGAGAGCUGCAGCCACAAUCCCUCAGUAAGUUCUGCUGCAGAACAGAGGGUUUCUCACUGCUGCCCUCGCUGAAGCAGCCCAUGGGUCAUGCCAUGACGGGGUUCUGGGGUUGAGAUGACCCCGAGGUAAUAAAAAGUCUUUUUGCUCCCAGCCUGA
Molecule: long non-coding RNA, 684 nt
Organism: Passer domesticus (house sparrow)
Lineage: Eukaryota; Metazoa; Chordata; Aves; Passeriformes; Passeridae
Exons: 2
Source: RefSeq, a predicted model, not a curated record